GUCGGUUAUAGAAUCUGGCAACCCACGGAGCAAGUUCGGUGUUAUGAGGUGCUCUUGGAUUGGCUGCAUAAUAAUCAGACCAAUAACAAGGUGAGAGUCUAUCAGCGAAAUUCCCAUCAGAAUAGANNNNNNNNNNNNAAUGGCAGCCAAGUUUCACCCCCAUUCAUCCUCCUCUUCCUUUCCCUGGGGUAUGCCAAUGGUGCCUGUACAUACCUGAUACCAUCCAGCAUAGCAUCCCAACAAAAAUGGGUAUGACCGAACACAUGGCAUGCAGAUGCAUUCCCCUUAGUUCCAUGUAUUGAUCUUAUGCGAACCUCAAGACAAUCAGAACCAAUGAUUUUUG
This 343-nucleotide unclassified non-coding RNA is filed under the name Hevea brasiliensis (rubber tree). The record is from RNAcentral. Lineage: Eukaryota; Viridiplantae; Streptophyta; Magnoliopsida; Malpighiales; Euphorbiaceae.